GAUGAACGCUGGCGGCGUGCUUAACACAUGCAAGUCGAACGGAAGGGCCCAAGCUUGCUUGGGUACUUGAGUGCCGAACGGGUGAGUAUAACGUGGGUGAUCUGCCCUGCACUUCCGGAUAUGCCUGGGAAACUGGGUCUAUUACCGGAUAGGAUAACUUCGACGUCGUUGUGGAGGAAAGUUUUUUCGGUUUGGGAUGAGCUAGGGGACUAUCAGCUCGUUGGUGGGGUAAUGGCCUACCAAGGCGUCGACGGGUAGCCGGCCGGAGAGGGGGUACGGCCACAAUGGGACUGGGAGACGGCCGAGGCACCUACGGGAGACAGGAGUAGGGAAUAUCGCACAAUGGGCGGAAGCCUGAUGAAGCGACGCGGCGUGUGAGACGACUUCUUUGGGGUGAUAAUCUGCUUUCGCAAAAGACGAAAUUAUGACGGUAUUUGGAGAAGAAGCACCGGCUAACUACGUG
This 463-nucleotide ribosomal RNA is filed under the name uncultured bacterium. RNAcentral describes it as "partial 16S ribosomal RNA". It matches the Rfam family "Bacterial small subunit ribosomal RNA", at positions 28 to 507 of the family's 1533-position model. The record is from RNAcentral.